UUGUCCAAAAGUGUAGUGUGUGCAUACACACAGUGUCAACUGUCAGGUACAAGACAAAAGCAAAGAAGUACCCAUACGAAACUGGUUUCCUUUGUGUACUUGUAGGUUAUGUGUCUUAAACCAAGAGGAGGAGAAAAAAAAAACUUUGAAAGAAGAGUUAAAGGCACACCAAGCACUGUGAGGGAAAAAAAAAAAAUAACCAUGUGAGCGUGUUUGUGUAGGAUGAAAGAGGAGGCAUAUGGGGAAGAAGCAACUUUAAUAACACUACAUCAUCAUCAUCAUCAUCAUCAUGAUGCUGUGUCCUUUUUCAGAAACACACACACACACCUUCACUUUCCAAAUCUCUCAGAAUUCUAUGCUUUCCAUUUCCCACCUGUCUCUCUCUCCUCAUGAUUUGAAUACUUAACUUGGUUUCUCUAUUAUUACUAUUGUAUACUAUUACACACACAUUGGUCAACUCUUUUGUUGGUUUUGCUGCUCCACCUAAAGCUUUUACUACAACGUUCCCUCUCCCUAUAAAUACACAGUUCCUCCCUUUAACUUCACCCCCAUCCCAUUACAUCUUUCUCAGAAAGAAACCCUAUUUUCAAACCCCAAAAGGCUGAAAGUGAAACAAUAGUAGCCAAUGUGCAAUAUUAUGACAAAAGACCUUGUAGCAUAGAUUCUAAAUUAACCUUCAACAUGUCUGAUUCAUUUGGUAGCACCUUUCACUCUUCCACUCCAAACUCCACCCUCAAUUCCCAUGCACCCCCCAAAAUCACCACAUUCUGCUCAAUAGCCCAACCUUAUUGCAUUUGCACCCACUGCAACCACAUCCUCACCUUCAACCACCAUGUUGGUAAUGUAGCAGAGGAAGGGACAAAUAGCACAGGGUCCCAUAAUAAUAAUUUGCAGUCCCAGCAGCAACAAAGCACAAGGUGGAGUCCAACCCCAGUUCAGUUACUAGUCCUUGAGGAAUUGUAUAGGCAAGGCACAAAAACACCCUCAGCUGAACAAAUUCAACAAAUAGCUUCACAGUUACGCCAGUUUGGGAAGAUUGAAGGGAAGAACGUGUUCUACUGGUUCCAGAAUCACAAGGCCAGAGAGAGACAGAAGCGGCGUAGAAGGGAAAUGGAGGAAAAUAAUAAUAACAAUAUUUCUGCUUCUUCUUCUGGUGAAGGGUUGAAAGAGACAGGUUGUGGAGUUAAAGAGACAAAGAAGUGGGCAUCCACUUCAAACUGCAGUGGACAUGCAGAGGAAUCUGCUGCACUGGAUAUAGCAGAAAAGGGAUCUAAUGGGUGGACUCAGUUUGAGGGGAAAGACAGCAUACAAGUUUUGAUGAGGAGAAACAUAGCCGAAAAACAAGCUAAGUUGCAGGAAAUUAUGGAAAUGCCUUGUUUCCCUCCUGUUACUAUGGAAGCAUCAACUCCUACAACUUCACACAGAAGAACAACGCAUUAUAACACACAACUUUUAACCCCUCAAAACUAUAAUAAUUUACCAUCUUCAGUCAUCAACAGAGAAAGUUUAAACUACUAUGGUGGUGAAGAAAAUGCAGCUCCUCGAACCCUUGACCUAUUUCCACACAAGAGGGAUGACCAACAUGGAAUUUCUCUUGCUGAGAGGAAAUCAUCUAUGUUCUGUGCAAGUGCUUCUAUGGACACUGAAGUCACCUCCAACAACCAGUUUUUUGAGUUUCUUCCUUUAAGAAACUGAAAGGGAUCAUAUCACUUGAUAUAUGGUACGUAGGUUCGUUUUGUAGAUGGUGGAUUGUAGAUGUUUGCCACGGCCAUCUUGAGAAGAAAUUAAAAAGUGACAAAGGAACGAAAGGUGGAAAAAAAAUCCAUUGCCGAAAACAACUCAUUGCGUAAAGGAAUGAAUAUUCAACAAAGAAGAUGUCCACAGGACCAGGGGUAGACAAAGCUUAAGUUCAGUGGGUCCUCUUUGAUGAAAAAGCUUGAGUUUGCCAGAAAUCAUUUG
Glycine soja is the source of this 1959-nucleotide RNA transcript. It is a transcript of the gene named WUSCHEL-related homeobox 1-like, with no coding region annotated. The transcript has 6 exons. Lineage: Eukaryota; Viridiplantae; Streptophyta; Magnoliopsida; Fabales; Fabaceae. The record is from RefSeq and is a predicted model, not a curated record.